AUACACACUGCUUUGUUUCAUCCUAUAGUAUUUUGGGGAAUUUUUCUCUAUCAGCCUUUAUAGAUUUACCUCAUGUUUUUUAAGAGCUGCAUGGUACCCUUUGUUCGGUCAGUCCCUAUGGGGGACCCCGCUGCUCUUUCCAGUGAAUGUCUUGGCUAUGACAUUAUUUGAAAUGGAAUAAAAUUCUACUUGACUCUCUAGUCUGGUGGUCCUCAUCUAGUUACAUUAUCUGAUAUUAGACCACAUUUAGUUUUGAUUCUUUUACAAGAUUAUGUUAUUUCAUAAAGUUAAUGAAUAUUUCUUGCUUUGAACAUCUUUUUCAGGUUGGUACCCGGAGGUAUAUGGCUCCAGAGGUAUUAGAGGGCGCUAUAAACUUCCAAAGGGAUGCAUUUUUGAGGAUAGAUAUGUAUGCCAUGGGAUUAGUCCUGUGGGAACUGGCUUCUCGCUGUACUGCUGCAGAUGGACCUGUAGAUGAGUACAUGUUGCCAUUUGAGGAGGAAAUUGGCCAGCAUCCAUCUCUUGAAGACAUGCAGGAGGUUGUUGUUCAUAAAAAAAGAGGCCUGUUUUAAGAGAUUAUUGGCAAGAAACAUGCUGGAAUGGCGAUGCUCUGUGAAACAAUAGAAGAUGUUGGGAUCAUGAUGCGGAAGCCAGGCUAUCAGCAGGAUGUGUAGGUGAAAGAAUUACUCAGAUGCAAAGACUAACAAAUAUCAUUACCACAGAGGACAUUGUAACAGUGGUCACAAUGGUGACAAAUGUUGACUUUCCUCCCAAAGAAUCUAGUCUAUGAUGGUUGCACCAUGUGUACACGUUGAGAAACAGGACUCUGAACUGGAGCUGCUAAGCUAAUGAAACUGCUCACAGUUUAUUUUGUGUGAAAUGAGUAGGAUGUCUCCUGCACAUGUCGAAGAGAAGACCCUCGUUCAAAACUGUGGCUCUGGGAGACUUACAGCAUUGCCUGUAGCAGAGAUGUGAAGGAUGUGAGACCUAAGAAAUGUUGCAAAUUCUAUAAACUUUUGAAAAAGUGUACAUGAAGAAUGUGGCCCUCUCCAAAUCAAGGAUCUUUUGGACCUGGCUAAUCAAGUGUUUGAAACUGACUUCAGAUUUCUUAAUGUCUGUCAGAAGACACUAAUUCCUUAAAUGAACUACUGCUAUUUUUUUUUAAAUCAAAACUUUUCAUUUCAGAUUUUUAAAGGGUAACUUGUUUUUACUGCAUUUGCUGUUGUGUUUCUAUAAAUGACUAUUGUAAUGCCAAUAUGACACAGCUUGUGAAUGUGUAGUGUGCUGCUGUUCUGUGUACAUAAACAAAGUCAUCAAAGUGGGGCACAGGAAAGAGGCUUCCAAGCAUUACUUUAACCUCCCUCAACAAGGUAUACCUCAGUUCCACGGUUGCUAAAUUAUAUCAUUGAAAACACUAACAAAAUUUGAAUAAAUCGAUCCAUGUUUUGUAACAAGGUAUUACAAAUUCACUGUGUUAUUUAA
Phyllostomus discolor (pale spear-nosed bat) is the source of this 1479-nucleotide long non-coding RNA. RefSeq lists it as uncharacterized. Lineage: Eukaryota; Metazoa; Chordata; Mammalia; Chiroptera; Phyllostomidae. The transcript has 3 exons. The record is from RefSeq and is a predicted model, not a curated record.